This 493-nucleotide ribosomal RNA is filed under the name uncultured Sphingobacteriales bacterium. RNAcentral's name for it is "bacterial SSU rRNA". It matches the Rfam family "Bacterial small subunit ribosomal RNA", at positions 887 to 1382 of the family's 1533-position model. The record is from RNAcentral. Lineage: Bacteria; Pseudomonadati; Bacteroidota; Sphingobacteriia; Sphingobacteriales.
GCCCGCUCAGAAACUCAAAGGAAUUGACGGGGGCCCGCACAAGCGGUGGAGCAUGUGGUUUAAUUCGAUGAUACGCGAGGAACCUUACCUGGGCUCAAAUGUAUGUUGACGUAUUCUGAAAGGGAUACUUCUUCGGACAAUAUACAAGGUGCUGCAUGGUUGUCGUCAGCUCGUGCCGUGAGGUGUCGGGUUAAGUCCCAUAACGAGCGCAACCCCUAUCAUUAGUUGCCAUCAGGUCAAGCUGGGGACUCUAAUGAAACUGCCUACGCAAGUAGUGAGGAAGGUGGGGAUGACGUCAAAUCAGCACGGCCCUUACGUCCAGGGCUACACACGUGCUACAAUGGCCGGUACAAAGGGCAGCUACCCCGCGAGGGGGCGCUAAUCCUAAAAGCUGGUCCCAGUUCGGAUCGGAGUCUGCAACCCGACUCCGUGAAGCUGGAUUCGCUAGUAAUCGCGCAUCAGCCACGGCGCGGUGAAUACGUUCCCGGGCCUU